This is a non-coding RNA of Chrysemys picta bellii (western painted turtle), 189 nucleotides long. NCBI's taxonomy places the organism in Eukaryota, Metazoa, Chordata, Testudines, Emydidae. The record is from RefSeq and is a predicted model, not a curated record.
AAACCUUGAAGUGAAAAAAAUAUUCUCUAAGUUAUAUCUGUUCUUAUCAGUUUAAUAUCUGAUAUGUUCUCGAUGUGAGAACUUUAUAUUAAAUGGAUUUUUGGAACAGGGAGAUGGAAUAGGAGCUUGCUAAAUCAACUCUAUGCAUCAACCUGGUAUUGCAGUACUGCCGGGCAUGGUGCGUCUCCC